Molecule: transfer RNA, 70 nt
Filed under: Anolis ocelloscapularis
Lineage: Eukaryota; Metazoa; Chordata; Lepidosauria; Squamata; Anolidae
Description: tRNA-Ala
Source: RNAcentral
UGGGACUUAUGGGCAACUAACCCACAUCUCCUGAAUGCAACUCAAACACUUUUAUUAAGCUAAAGCCUCU